RNAcentral lists this transfer RNA (84 nucleotides) under Lachnospiraceae bacterium. RNAcentral describes it as "tRNA-Leu". It matches the Rfam family "tRNA". From Rfam's summary of the family: Transfer RNA (tRNA) molecules are approximately 80 nucleotides in length. Their secondary structure includes four short double-helical elements and three loops (D, anti-codon, and T loops). Lineage: Bacteria; Bacillati; Bacillota; Clostridia; Lachnospirales; Lachnospiraceae. The record is from RNAcentral.
GCGGAAGUGGCGGAAUAGGCAGACGCGCAGGCUUCAGGUGCCUGUGAUCGCAAGGUCGUGAGAGUUCAAGUCUCUUCUUCCGCA